CCUACGGGUGGCAGCAGUGAGGAAUAUUGGUCAAUGGACGCAAGUCUGAACCAGCCAUGUCGCGUGCAGGAUGACUGCUCUAUGGGUUGUAAACUUCUUUUAUACGAGAAUAAAGUCAGAUACGCGUGUCUUUCUGUAAGUAUCUUACGAAUAAGGAUCGGCUAACUCCGUGCCAGCAGCCGCGGUAAUACGGAGGAUCCGAGCGUUAUCCGGAUUUAUUGGGUUUAAAGGGUGCGUAGGUGGGUUGAUAAGUCAGAGGUGAAAGUCCGCGGCUCAACUGUGAAAUUGCCUCUGAUACUGUCAGGCUAGAGAACAGUUGAGGUAGGCGGAAUGUAUGGUGUAGCGGUGAAAUGCUUAGAGAUCACAAAGAACACCGAUUGCGAAGGCAGCUUACUAAGCUACUUCUGACAUUGAGGCACGAAAGUGUGGGGAUCAAACAGGAUUAGAUACCCUUGUAGUC
RNAcentral lists this ribosomal RNA (460 nucleotides) under uncultured bacterium. RNAcentral describes it as "partial 16S ribosomal RNA". It matches the Rfam family "Bacterial small subunit ribosomal RNA", at positions 338 to 795 of the family's 1533-position model. The record is from RNAcentral.